This is a long non-coding RNA of Labrus mixtus (cuckoo wrasse), 401 nucleotides long. RefSeq lists it as uncharacterized. The record is from RefSeq and is a predicted model, not a curated record. The transcript is spliced from 3 exons. Lineage: Eukaryota; Metazoa; Chordata; Actinopteri; Labriformes; Labridae.
CAGCUUCUUCUUUCCUGCGGACGGCCGAGGCCAGGAGAACAGGAGAAGGACGAUGAGAGAAACCCGGAGGAGCAUCGCAUGAUUCCGGGCAGAGCGAGCUACCCGAGGGGGAUUUCUGCAAAGUGCCAGCAUGGUUCAAGGAUGAAGCCGGCGUGGCAGCUGUAAUGGAGCACCGUCCCCUCCACUGGAGGUCCAGGCGGCUUCACCGACACCCGGCCGUUUUCCAGAGAGGUCCACACGCGUGGACACAGCAGCACUAAGAAAAGAAAGGUUUGAAGCUGCAUCCACUCGAUCUGUCCCUGUUGCACCACCACUGCACGCUGCAACCUCCUGCUUGACUCUGGUGUCAGACUCAGCUCCGACAGGAGGACUUCGCCCGCUGCACGCAGUGGGGCGGCAUC